AUAAGUUGGGGAAUUUUUCUGAAAGAGAUCAAAUCUAAACUGAAACGUAGAAUAUUUGGGAUGGAAAAGAAAAGGAAUAAAUCGAAGGAUGCCAAAGCGCCCAAAACCCCACAGCAUUGAAAUCAACCUGUACCGAACAUUUAAUGCUAAAAGAAACGCUGCAGAAAGUAAAGCAACAUGGGCUGUCCUAACAUUGUUAUUUUGAUUUUCUAGAAACUUGGAUGGACCAAUCACUUGUUUCCCAUAUUUCAUUCAUUGAUGACAAGAUUGGACGUCCUCUAAAGUUUGGGGGGCGGGGGGAAAGUUGAAGAUGCUGCUGAGCAAGGGCGUUACGGAAUUUUUUGAAGAGAACAUAUGCAAAUACUCUCUUACCUCAAUGGCUAAGUUUAUUUAUCACUUUAUAUUCGAAAUACGAUGUUAGAUUAGCCUAGAAUGAUAUAUUCUCCGUAGCAAUUACGCUGUAAAUGGGCUGACAUCGUCAUGCUUGAUUAUGGGCAUUAUCCAAGAGCUUUGGGCUUUUGGAUAGUCCAUUGUGGUCUUGG
RNAcentral lists this long non-coding RNA (542 nucleotides) under Durio zibethinus. Its description in RNAcentral is "long non-coding RNA (DZIB_LNC000293)". The record is from RNAcentral. Lineage: Eukaryota; Viridiplantae; Streptophyta; Magnoliopsida; Malvales; Malvaceae.